Molecule: transfer RNA, 85 nt
Filed under: Syntrophomonadaceae bacterium
Lineage: Bacteria; Bacillati; Bacillota; Clostridia; Eubacteriales; Syntrophomonadaceae
Description: tRNA-Leu
Rfam family: tRNA
About the family: Transfer RNA (tRNA) molecules are approximately 80 nucleotides in length. Their secondary structure includes four short double-helical elements and three loops (D, anti-codon, and T loops).
Source: RNAcentral
GCGGAUGUGGCGGAAUUGGCAGACGCGCCAGGUUUAGGUCCUGGUAUCGCAAGAUGUGCAGGUUCGAGUCCUGUCAUCCGCACCA